ACGCUGGCGGCGUGCCUAAUACAUGCAAGUAGAACGCUGAAGCUUGGUGCUUGCACCGAGCGGAAGAGUUGCGAACGGGUGAGUAACGCGUAGGUAACCUGCCUCUUAGUGGGGGAUAACUAUUGGAAACGAUAGCUAAUACCGCAUAAAAGUCGACAUUGCAUGAUGUUGACUUGAAAGGUGCAACUGCAUCACUAAGAGAUGGACCUGUGUUGUAUUAGCUAGUUGGUGAGGUAACGGCUCACCAAGGCGACGAUACAUAGCCGACCUGAGAGGGUGAUCGGCCACACUGGGACUGAGACACGGCCCAGACUCCUACGGGAGGCAGCAGUAGGGAAUCUUCGGCAAUGGACGGAAGUCUGACCGAGCAACGCCGCGUGAGUGAAGAAGGUUUUCGGAUCGUAAAGCUCUGUUGUAAGAGAAGAACGAGUGUGAGAGUGGAAAGUUCACACUGUGACGGUAACUUACCAGAAUGGGACGGCUAACUACGUGCCAGCAGCCGCGGUAAUACGUAGGUCCCGAGCGUUAUCCGGAUUUAUUGGGCGUAAAGCGAGCGCAGGCGGUUAGAUAAGUCUGAAGUUAAAGGCUGUGGCUUAACCAUAGUACGCUUUGGAAACUGUUUAACUUGAGUGCAGAAGGGGAGAGUGGAAUUCCAUGUGUAGCGGUGAAAUGCGUAGAUAUAUGGAGGAACACCGGUGGCGAAAGCGGCUCUCUGGUCUGUAACUGACGCUGAGGCUCGAAAGCGUGGGGAGCAAACAGGAUUAGAUACCCUGGUAGUCCACGCCGUAAACGAUGAGUGCUAGGUGUUGGGUCCUUUCCGGGACUCAGUGCCGUAGCUAACGCAUUAAGCACUCCGCCUGGGGAGUACGACCGCAAGGUUGAAACUCAAAGGAAUUGACGGGGGCCCGCACAAGCGG
This 917-nucleotide ribosomal RNA is filed under the name uncultured bacterium. RNAcentral describes it as "bacterial SSU rRNA". It matches the Rfam family "Bacterial small subunit ribosomal RNA", at positions 33 to 932 of the family's 1533-position model. The record is from RNAcentral.